RNAcentral lists this ribosomal RNA (535 nucleotides) under uncultured bacterium. RNAcentral describes it as "bacterial SSU rRNA". It matches the Rfam family "Bacterial small subunit ribosomal RNA", at positions 774 to 1302 of the family's 1533-position model. The record is from RNAcentral.
ACGUAAUAGAUACCCUGGUAGUCCACGCCCUAAACGAUGUAAACUCGACAUCAGCGAUAUACUGUUGGUGUCCAAAGCGAAAAAAGCGUUAAGUUUACCACCUGGGAAGUACGACCGCAAGGUUGAAACUCAAAGGAAUUGGCGGGGGUUCCGCACAAGCGGUGGAGCAUGUGGUUUAAUUCGAUGAUACGCGAGGAACCUUACCUGGGCUAGAAUGCAGUCUGACCGAUCCUGAAAGGGGUCUUUGUAGCAAUACACAGAUUGCAAGGUGCUGCAUGGUUGUCGUCAGCUCGUGCCGUGAGGUGUUGGGUUAAGUCCCGCAACGAGCGCAACCCCUAUCUUUAGUUGCCAGCGAGUAAUGUCGGGGUACUCUAAAGAGACUGCCUGCGUAAGCAGAGAGGAAGGAGGGGUAUGACGUCAAAUCAUCAUGGCCUUUAUGCCCAGGGCUACACACGUGCUACAAUGGUAGGGCAAAGGGCUGCAAAUCAGCGAUGGUGAGCCAAUCCCAAAAACCCGUAUCUCAGUUCGGAUUGAA